AGAAGCGUAAGCUUUCUAUUUGUGCUUUUCUUUUGACCAUCUUUAUCAAUCCUAUCUGGAUUCUUUAAUCGGGCGAUGCCCCCUACCCAAUUUAAGCGGAACAGAAUGCUCAUGGCAAAUCUGUGUAUUAUGUUUAGGUAGAUGGUGGUCGGUUUGUCUUUCGGUAAUAUUUUAUCAUCUUGGUUGUUUUUUCACUGUGUUAUACAUGGCUGUGCAUGUAAAGUCCAUUUGUAGAAGGUAAGUGGGAUAGUUCAUUUGAUUUCUAGGAGGAAAUACUCUUCAUAAGAUAAUAUUUCUAAGUAGAUAAAAAUCAAUGUCUUGUAGUAUAGGAGGUUAAGAGCUGAACUCAACUUUAGUACCCCUUACCUAAAAACAUUAUUCUCUUGACUUCGGAUGAUAAAAUGCUCAAGAUGGAAUGGAAAUUAAAUAGUGGAAUUCCUACGAGUCAUUUACUUUUGACGCAGUAGACAAAAUUCUUCUGUGGGCACCUACCUUUGAAUCAUCUUCAAUUAUUCAGGUUGUCCAAAUGUGCGCUGAAUAGUGAGUCAUGUGCAUCCCUCUCUUCAUCUUCGAUCAAAAUCUUAUCAAUUUCUACAUUUCUUUGAUGAUUUUGAACCAGUAAAAAUUGCAUAUAUAUUUUUUAAAGUUGAGAUGAUUUAUUUUAUUUUAUUUUAUU
This 676-nucleotide unclassified non-coding RNA is filed under the name Hevea brasiliensis (rubber tree). Lineage: Eukaryota; Viridiplantae; Streptophyta; Magnoliopsida; Malpighiales; Euphorbiaceae. The record is from RNAcentral.